CCUACGGGAGGCUGCAGUAAGGAAUAUUGGUCAAUGGACGCAAGUCUGAACCAGCCAUGCCGCGUGGAGGAUGAAGGUCCUCUGGAUUGUAAACUUCUUUUAUUUGGGAAGAAACUCCCGAUUUCCAUCGGGAUUGACGGUCCCAGAUGAAUAAGCACCGGCUAACUCCGUGCCAGCAGCCGCGGUAAUACGGAGGGUGCAAGCGUUAGCCGUAUACAGUGGGCGUAGAGGGUGCGUUGAUGGGCAGGUGAAAGCUCCGUGCUUAACCCGGAAACUGCCAUUGAUACUAUUUGUCUUGAAUACUCUGGAGGUGAGCGGAAUAUGUCAUGUAGCGGUGAAAUGCUUAGAUAUGACAUAGAACACCCAUUGCGAAGGCAGCUCACUACGGAAAUAUUGACGCUGAGGCACGAAAGCGUGGGGAUCAAACAGGAUUAGAUACCCUAGUAGUC
Molecule: ribosomal RNA, 449 nt
Filed under: uncultured bacterium
Lineage: Bacteria
Description: partial 16S ribosomal RNA
Rfam family: Bacterial small subunit ribosomal RNA
Source: RNAcentral